UGGGGAAUCUUCGACAAUGGGGGAAACCCUGAUCUAGCCAUGCCGCGUGAGUGAAGAAGGCCCUAGGGUCGUAAAGCUCUUUCGCCAGGGAUGAUAAUGACAGUACCUGGUAAAGAAACCCCGGCUAACUCCGUGCCAGCAGCCGCGGUAAUACGGAGGGGGUUAGCGUUGUUCGGAAUCACUGGGCGUAAAGGGCGCGUAGGCGGCUGCUUAAGUCGAGGGUGAAAGCCCGGGGCUCAACCUCGGAACGGCCUUCGAGACUGGGCGGCUAGAGAUCGGAAGAGGAGGGUGGAAUACCCAGUGUAGAGGUGAAAUUCGUAGAUAUUGGGUGGAACACCAGUGGCGAAAGCGGCUCUCUGGUCCGGAUCUGACGCUGAGGCGCGAAAGCGUGGGGAGCAAACAGGAUUAGAUACCCCUGUAGUCC
RNAcentral lists this ribosomal RNA (424 nucleotides) under uncultured prokaryote. RNAcentral's name for it is "bacterial SSU rRNA". It matches the Rfam family "Bacterial small subunit ribosomal RNA", at positions 355 to 796 of the family's 1533-position model. The record is from RNAcentral.